CGGACGGGUGAGUAACACGUGGAUAACCUACCUAUAAGACUGGGAUAACUUCGGGGAACCGGAGCUAAUACCGGAUAAUAUUUUGAACCGCAUGGUUCAAAAGUGAAAGACGGUCUUGCUGUCACUUAUAGAUGGAUCCGCGCUGCAUUAGCUAGUUGGUAAGGUAACGGCUUACCAAGGCAACGAUGCAUAGCCGACCUGAGAGGGUGAUCGGCCACACUGGAACUGAGACACGGUCCAG
Molecule: ribosomal RNA, 241 nt
Filed under: uncultured Staphylococcus sp.
Lineage: Bacteria; Bacillati; Bacillota; Bacilli; Caryophanales; Staphylococcaceae
Description: partial 16S ribosomal RNA
Rfam family: Bacterial small subunit ribosomal RNA
Source: RNAcentral